AGCAUAUCAAUAAGCGGAGGAAAAGAAACCAACAGGGAUUGCCCCAGUAACGGCGAGUGAAGCGGCAACAGCUCAAAUUUGAAAUCUGGCCCCCAGGGCCCGAGUUGUAAUUUGCAGAGGAUGCUUUGGGCGAGGUGCCUUCCGAGUUCCCUGGAACGGGACGCCACAGAGGGUGAGAGCCCCGUCUGGUCGCGCGCCGAGCCUGUGUAAAGCUCCUUCGACGAGUCGAGUAGUUUGGGAAUGCUGCUCAAAAUGGGAGGUAUAUGUCUUCUAAAGCUAAAUACCGGCCAGAGACCGAUAGCGCACAAGUAGAGUGAUCGAAAGAUGAAAAGCACUUUGAAAAGAGAGUUAAACAGCACGUGAAAUUGUUGAAAGGGAAGCGUUCAUGACCAGACUUGGCCCGGUUGAUCAUCCAGCGUUCUCGCUGGUGCACUCUGCCGGUCCAGGCCAGCAUCAGUUCGCCGCGGGGGAUAAAGGUUUCGGGAAUGUGGCUCCCCCGGGAGUGUUAUAGCCCGUUGCGCAAUACCCUGCGGUGGACUGAGGUCCGCGCUCUGCAAGGAUGCUGGCGUAAUGGUCAUCAACGACCCGUCUUGAAACACGGACCAAGGAGUCGUCUUCGUAUGCGAGUGUUCGGGUGUAAAACCCCUACGCGUAAUGAAAGUGAACGGAGGUGGGAGCCUCGGCGCACCAUCGACCGAUCCUGAUGUUCUCGGAUGGAUUUGAGUAAGAGCAUACGGGGCCGGACCCGAAAGAAGGUGAACUAUGCCUGUAUAGGGUGAAGCCAGAGGAAACUCUGGUGGAGGCUCGCAGCGGUUCUGACGUGCAAAUCGAUCGUCAAAUAUGGGCAUGGGGGCGAAAGACUAAUCGAACCUUCUAGUAGCUGGUUUC
Molecule: ribosomal RNA, 888 nt
Filed under: Myrothecium uttaraditense
Lineage: Eukaryota; Fungi; Ascomycota; Sordariomycetes; Hypocreales; Stachybotryaceae
Description: eukaryotic LSU rRNA
Rfam family: Eukaryotic large subunit ribosomal RNA
Source: RNAcentral